RNAcentral lists this long non-coding RNA (692 nucleotides) under Rattus norvegicus (Norway rat). RNAcentral's name for it is "long non-coding RNA NONRATT023255". Lineage: Eukaryota; Metazoa; Chordata; Mammalia; Rodentia; Muridae. The record is from RNAcentral.
GCAUUUCAGUGGUACCAGGCUGUUUAACAAAUCAUCAUUGUUUGAUAGAAAUGUUUAUCACCACCCUGUGGGCAAACCACUUGCAGAGUCUGAAUGUCCUUGGAGAUUGUUUUAUUAUUUUUCUGGAAACAAGUUGUUGAGUGUGGUCAUGAAAAUGCUGCUGUUAGACUUACAUAAUAUUCUGUGAAGCUUGAAAAAGCUGCAACUGCGCUCGCUCGCUCUCUCUCCCUCCUCCUCCUCCUCCUUCCCUCCCUUUCUCCCUCUCCCUCCCUCCCUCUCUCUCUCUCUCCUUCUUUCCCUUCCCCUCCCCCCUCUGCCAUUGUAUGGGGCCAGCAGUUCAGACACAGCAGUCAUUGCCAGAAACAAAAUCCGUGGGAUCUUGAGAAGGACAAGACAAGAAAAUGACCCCAAGGAGCAGAAUGCCCAGGUAAACUGGGUCAUUAUUACCACUUAAAAACAAAAGCUCCGAGCUCCCAUUUUCCUGCAUCCCACACUUCACGGUUGCUUUUAAGAAGCUAUGUUUCAUCCUAAGAAUUGCAUCAGGAGCAAGGCUAAAUAUUUUGCCUGGAAAAUUUGGCUGGUUGUGAAUGGAGAAGGUAUUUAUAUCCUACAUUCCAGCACCUUCCCAAAGAGCAGAUUAGACACCCCAGUGUACUUCCUUCAUCCGGGUGGGUUCCCUGCUGGUACCACUC